GGGCACGUGGCAGAAGGUGAUGCCCGCGCUGUGCACGCGGCGGCGUUCGGCGCGGAUGUUCUUGCGCUUCUUCUGCUCC
RNAcentral lists this transfer RNA (79 nucleotides) under Ralstonia solanacearum. RNAcentral describes it as "tRNA-His". Lineage: Bacteria; Pseudomonadati; Pseudomonadota; Betaproteobacteria; Burkholderiales; Burkholderiaceae. The record is from RNAcentral.